Molecule: long non-coding RNA, 595 nt
Organism: Dendrobium catenatum
Lineage: Eukaryota; Viridiplantae; Streptophyta; Magnoliopsida; Asparagales; Orchidaceae
Exons: 2
Source: RefSeq, a predicted model, not a curated record
AAUUUGCUAGCAUGAAGGAUGACGACAGAAAGGAGGCGCCGUGCCCGCCGGAUACGGUUAAUCAGGUGGUAGAGAACCUGGGUAAGAACAGGACGUCGAUGGGGUAUGUGGAAAUAGAUCAGGUUACGGUGAGAGCUGAAGCCGGUGGCGAAUUGGAAGGAUUGGUGGCUGGAGGUGUGGAGCUAGGGCAACCUGAUUUCAUAGAGGAUGUGAGGUUUCAGUGAUCUUGUUGGUUGCCAGUGGCGGUGGAUAUAGAUGGCGCUGAAGCUUAUGAAAUUCAAGGAAAAGCUAUCAAUCUCAGUUGCAGCAGCAUUUCAGUCUGUAGCAUAAUAGCUUGCCCUUCACUAAGCUUGAGCAGAGGGGCAUUUCUUUAAUGGUGGGAUUAUUUGAAAUUUCUUCUAGAAAUAUGAAGAUCCUCUGUCCACAUGUUUAAAAGGAGAGAAAAAAAGAGGGAGAGAUAAAGAGUUCUUCCUCUGCAUUUGAGAUUCGAAUCCAACAAUUUUACUGCAAUUUCUAAGACAUGCAAAGUUGUCAAUUGUUAUUGAUAACUAUUUCUUACAUACUCAUAAUAUAGCUGACCAUUAUUUUCUUCUUC